GUGUUACUAGGGACAAACAAAAUAGAAUUAAAAUCCAUCCAAUAUGUGAAAAUUCAUCGCUGGGCCUAAAACCAAUGACGAAAGUAAUUCUAACUAACCUUAAUACACGAUAGCUAAGAUCCAAACUGGGAUUAGAUACCCCACUAUGCUUAGCCCUAAACUUCAAUAAUUUUAAAACAAAAAUAUUUGCCUGAGAACUACUGGCUACAGCUUAAAACUCAAAGGACUUGGCGGUACUUUAUAUCCAUCUAGAGGAGCCUGUUCUAUAAUCGAUAAACCCCGUUAUACCUUACCACCCCUUGCUAAUACAGCUUAUAUACCGCCAUCUUCAGCAAACCCUAAAAAGGAAUAAAAGUAAGCAAGAGAAUCACCAUAAAAACGUUAGGUCAAGGUGUAGCCAAUGAGGUGGGAAGCAAUGGGCUACAUUUUCUUACGAAGAACAUUACGCUACCCUUUAUGAAACUAAAGGACAAAGGAGGAUUUAGUAGUAAAUUAAGAAUAGAGAG
Molecule: ribosomal RNA, 506 nt
Filed under: Microtus pennsylvanicus (meadow vole)
Lineage: Eukaryota; Metazoa; Chordata; Mammalia; Rodentia; Cricetidae
Description: partial 12S ribosomal RNA
Rfam family: Bacterial small subunit ribosomal RNA
Source: RNAcentral